Molecule: unclassified non-coding RNA, 233 nt
Filed under: plant metagenome
Description: partial contains small subunit ribosomal RNA, internal transcribed spacer 1, and 5.8S ribosomal RNA
Source: RNAcentral
UUUCCGUAGGUGAACCUGCGGAAGGAUCAUUAAUGUGUUUGGGCCUCACGGCUCUUUAUUCCGACGCUGUGCGCCUUCGGGCUGCACGCUGAGGGAGCAUAUAUCCACCCCUGUGCACACACACGGUGGCGAGCUGGGUAACGGCUCGCCGCUGAUCUUUACACACGUCUAAAAGUCAUUGUAUGUUUAUUUGAGAUAAAACACAACUUUCAGCAACGGAUCUCUUGGCUCUC